Pantherophis guttatus is the source of this 332-nucleotide non-coding RNA. The record is from RefSeq and is a predicted model, not a curated record. NCBI's taxonomy places the organism in Eukaryota, Metazoa, Chordata, Lepidosauria, Squamata, Colubridae.
UGUGACCCUCCGUAUUGAAAGGUCCACCGUUGCUGGAGGGGCAACCCCUGGCAUCUCCCCACAGCUGGAUCAAAGAUGGUGACAUCACAGCACAUGUCCUAAAACCUUGGCUGGGCUGUCCUGGCUCAUUCUCAACUGCUACCACUGGAGAGAUGGCAGGAAAUUUUUCUAUAGAUUGAACAAAAAAGUCCAGCGGAGAAAUAAAGUGGUUCCAGAGGAGCAGCCCGUCUUUUGGCAACGGGGACACACGGAGCAGAAGACUUCAUGUGCCAGCAACUUGCCCCCAAUCAACGAAGGGCGUCCCCCUCAGCGGUCCAUCAGCCCCUGUCCCC